RNAcentral lists this ribosomal RNA (254 nucleotides) under uncultured bacterium. RNAcentral describes it as "partial 16S ribosomal RNA". It matches the Rfam family "Bacterial small subunit ribosomal RNA", at positions 524 to 776 of the family's 1533-position model. The record is from RNAcentral.
UACGUAGGGUGCGAGCGUUGUCCGGAAUUAUUGGGCGUAAAGAGCUCGUAGGCGGUGUGUCACGUCGUUCGUGAAAACCUGCAGCUUAACUGUGGGCGUGCGGUCGAUACGGGCAUCACUGGAGUUCGGCAGGGGAGACUGGAAUUCCUGGUGUAGCGGUGAAAUGCGCAGAUAUCAGGAGGAACACCCGUGGCGAAGGCGGCUCUCUGGGACGGUACUGACGCUGAGACGCGAAAGCGUGGGGAGCGAACAGG